AUUGAACGCUGGCGGCAUGCCUUACACAUGCAAGUCGAACGGCAGCGCGGGGCAACCUGGCGGCGAGUGGCGAACGGGUGAGUAACAUAUCGGAACAUACCCUAGAGUGGGGAUAACGUAGCGAAAGUUACGCUAAUACCGCAUACGCACUAAGGUGGAAAGUGGGGGAUCUUCGGACCUCAUGCUCAUGGAGUGGCCGAUAUCUGAUUAGCUAGUUGGUGAGGUAAAGGCUCACCAAGGCGACGAUCAGUAGCUGGUUUGAGAGAACGACCAGCCACACUGGAACUGAGACACGGUCCAGACUCCUACGGGAGGCAGCAGUGGGGAAUAUUGGACAAUGGGGGCAACCCUGAUCCAGCCAUGCCGCGUGUGUGAAGAAGGCCU
RNAcentral lists this ribosomal RNA (384 nucleotides) under uncultured bacterium. Its description in RNAcentral is "bacterial SSU rRNA". It matches the Rfam family "Bacterial small subunit ribosomal RNA", at positions 30 to 417 of the family's 1533-position model. The record is from RNAcentral.